GACGAACGCUGGCGGCGUGCUUAACACAUGCAAGUCGAGCGGUAAGGCCCUUUCGGGGGUACACGAGCGGCGAACGGGUGAGUAACACGUGGGUGACCUGCCUUUAGCUCUGGGAUAAGCCUGGGAAACCGGGUCUAAUACCGGAUAUGACUCCGCGGCGCAUGUUGUGGGGUGGAAAGCCUUGUGCGGCUGGAGAUGGGCCCGCGGCCUAGUCAGCUUGUUGGUGGGGUGAUGGCCUACCAAGGCGACGACGGUAGCCGGCCUGAGAGGGCGACCGGCCACACUGGGACUGAGACACGGCCCAGACUCCUACGGGAGGCAGCAGU
This 326-nucleotide ribosomal RNA is filed under the name uncultured bacterium. RNAcentral's name for it is "bacterial SSU rRNA". It matches the Rfam family "Bacterial small subunit ribosomal RNA", at positions 28 to 355 of the family's 1533-position model. The record is from RNAcentral.